UACGAAGGGGGCUAGCGUUGUUCGGAAUCACUGGGCGUAAAGCGUAUGCAGGCGGAUCGCUAAGUCAGGGGUGAAAUCCCGAGGCUCAACCUCGGAACUGCCUUUGAUACUGACGAUCUUGAGUCCGGGAGAGGUGAGUGGAACUGCGAGUGUAGAGGUGAAAUUCGUAGAUAUUCGCAAGAACACCAGUGGCGAAGGCGGCUCACUGGCCCGGUACUGACGCUGAGGUGCGAAAGCGUGGGGAGCAAACAGG
This 253-nucleotide ribosomal RNA is filed under the name uncultured bacterium. Its description in RNAcentral is "partial 16S ribosomal RNA". It matches the Rfam family "Bacterial small subunit ribosomal RNA", at positions 524 to 776 of the family's 1533-position model. The record is from RNAcentral.